UUUCCAACAAAAAAAGAAUUAUCAAAAUCGUUACACCCAGUAACAAGCUAUACGGUAUUAUACAACGUAGACCGACGAAAAAAUAGUCAAGUAAAUACGCAUUAUUAAAUAUAGUUCGAAAGGUACUUGUUAGAACUCGAUUAAAUUUACAUGAGACCACAUAACAAGCACCACCUUUCGAU
Long non-coding RNA from Melitaea cinxia (Glanville fritillary), 182 nucleotides. RefSeq lists it as uncharacterized. NCBI's taxonomy places the organism in Eukaryota, Metazoa, Arthropoda, Insecta, Lepidoptera, Nymphalidae. The record is from RefSeq and is a predicted model, not a curated record. The transcript has 2 exons.